This 208-nucleotide long non-coding RNA is filed under the name Lathyrus oleraceus (garden pea). Its description in RNAcentral is "Pisum sativum (pea) long non-coding RNA (PSAT_LNC017889)". Lineage: Eukaryota; Viridiplantae; Streptophyta; Magnoliopsida; Fabales; Fabaceae. The record is from RNAcentral.
UCAGUGCUUCCAUGCAGUGCUGAUCUGGAUAACGUGUGGGUGACAUAGGGAGCUGAUAAAGAGCUAUGUAGCGCUCUCUCUGAGCGUCAUCUCUAUAGGCCACAUGCAUAUCGUCGAAGUCCUGCAUCCUGUGAAAGUUAGAAAAAGGGGUCCUGAAAAUACAAACAUUUCAAAUAUUUAGUCUCGAUGAAAAUAUGAUAAAAAUAAA